RNAcentral lists this transfer RNA (67 nucleotides) under Angulomastax meiospina. Its description in RNAcentral is "tRNA-Tyr". Lineage: Eukaryota; Metazoa; Arthropoda; Insecta; Orthoptera; Eumastacidae. The record is from RNAcentral.
AUCAGAUUGCAAUUCUGAAGGUGUAUAAAUUACUAAGGCCUAAAAUAUUAAUAUAUUUUAUAUAUAA